GGUGGCUCAGUGUUAGAGUGCUUGCCUUGCUUGCAUGAGGCCCUGGGUUUGAUUCUCAGCACCA
RNAcentral lists this transfer RNA (64 nucleotides) under Dipodomys ordii (Ord's kangaroo rat). It matches the Rfam family "tRNA". Rfam says of the family: Transfer RNA (tRNA) molecules are approximately 80 nucleotides in length. Lineage: Eukaryota; Metazoa; Chordata; Mammalia; Rodentia; Heteromyidae. The record is from Rfam by way of RNAcentral.